RNAcentral lists this ribosomal RNA (478 nucleotides) under uncultured bacterium. RNAcentral's name for it is "partial 16S ribosomal RNA". It matches the Rfam family "Bacterial small subunit ribosomal RNA", at positions 28 to 507 of the family's 1533-position model. The record is from RNAcentral.
GACGAACGCUGGCGGCGUGCUUAACACAUGCAAGUCGAACGGGAUUUAGUAAACAGAAACCUCGGUGGAAGAUUACUAAUGAGAGUGGCGAACGGGUGAGUAACGCGUGAGCAACCUGCCUAUGACAGUGGGAUAGCCUCGGGAAACCGGGAUUAAUACCGCAUAAAAUCGUAGAAACACAUGUUUUAACGGUCAAAGAUUUAUCGGUCAUAGAUGGGCUCGCGUCUGAUUAGCUAGUUGGUGAGAUAACAGCCCACCAAGGCGACGAUCAGUAGCCGGUCUGAGAGGAUGAACGGCCACAUUGGAACUGAGACACGGUCCAAACUCCUACGGGAGGCAGCAGUGGGGAAUAUUGCACAAUGGGGGAAACCCUGAUGCAGCGACGCCGCGUGAACGAAGAAGGUAUUCGUAUCGUAAAGUUCUGUCCUAUGGGAAGAUAAUGACAGUACCAAAGAAGAAAGCUCCGGCUAAAUACGUG